RNAcentral lists this ribosomal RNA (802 nucleotides) under uncultured organism. RNAcentral's name for it is "bacterial SSU rRNA". It matches the Rfam family "Bacterial small subunit ribosomal RNA", at positions 31 to 845 of the family's 1533-position model. The record is from RNAcentral.
GAACGCUAGCGACGUGCCUAAGAAAUGCAAGUCGAGCGAGGCCAUGGAGCUUGCUCCGGAAGCCUAGCGGCGAACGGUCGCGUAACACGUAAGCAACCUGCCCCAAAGUUUGGGAUAGCCCUCCGAAAGGGGGAUUAAUACCGGAUGUGGAUGUUGAUAUGCAUGUAUUAACAUCUAAAGCAUUUAUGCGCUUUGGGAUGGGCUUGCGGCCUAUCAGCUAGUUGGUGAGGUAACGGCUCACCAAGGCGACGACGGGUAGCUGGUCUGAGAGGAUGGUCAGCCGGACUGGGACUGAGACACGGCCCAGACCCCUACGGGGGGCAGCAAUUAGGAAUCUUGCGCAAUGGGCGAAAGCCUGACGCAGCGACGUCGCGUGAACGAUGAAGUCUUUCGGGAUGUAAAGUUCUUUUCUGAGGGAAGAAGGAUGUGACGGUACCUCAGGAAUAAGCCCCGGCUAACUACGUGCCAGCAGCCGCGGUAAUACGUAGGGGCGAGCGUUGUCCGAAUUUACUGGGCGUAAAGCGCGCGUAGGUGGACUCUUAAGUUGGUGGUGAAAUGCCGAGGCUCAACCUCGGAACUGCCUUCAAAACUGGGAGUCUUGAGGCUUGGAGAGGGAAGUGGAAUUCCUGGUGUAGCGGUGAAAUGCGUAGAUAUCAGGAGGAACACCGAUGGCGAAGGCAGCUUCCUGGCCAUGUCCUGACGCUGAGUGCGAAAGCCAGGGUAGCGAACGGGAUUAGAUACCCCGGUAGUCCUGGCCGUAAACGAUGGAUACUAGGUGUUAGAGGUAUCGACCCCUCUAGUG